AUCUUUCUUAUCUAAGACACAAGGUGAUCAUAGUCUUCAUGCAUAAAAUGUUACAUCAUUCUCCUAGUAUUCAUCUGUUUAAGACUGAUGCUAGCAUUUAAUAAAGUAUCAUUUUUCAUGAAGUAGCUCUUUAGUGAGCUAUUCAGGACAUGAGAUGUUUGGAUUCUGUGUGAGCCUCAACAUGAGAAAACUACCUUAAAAACCUCAUUUUUCUGGCAGAGCCUGUACAUUGUGCAAAGCAAAUGGCACUGCUAUUCCUACUCUUGGAGCUCUGACACUGUGGAAAAGUACAAGAGAGAGUACAAUUCAAAGCAUGUUAAACCUGUGGUAGAAAUCAAAGUUCAUGGCUUUUAAAUCCCUGGGUAAACCCUGAUAGCAGGCCUGGCUCUUACCCUGAUAUGUGUAUUUUACGUAUCCGUCAGUGAGAAUAGGUGUGCAGCUCAACUCUCAAGACUGAACAUCAGGUUAUUUUUAUCUUUCCUGUUCUAACAGACAUCCAAUUUGUCCCCAGGAACCAGAGACUAAAAGUCUCUCCCCAAAUAUGUGCAUCACUGAGGAAGCCUUAGGAAAGAGGAGAGUCUGAGCUGUGCAAAGAUUUGAAUUUCCUUAUCUGAGUCCUAGGGCAGGAUCUCCACUUCAUCCCAAGAGUACCGCGCAGGAGAAACUCUGUUUUGCCUGCGGAAAGCUGCUGAAUGAGGAGGAAGAAUGGAGAUGAUGGGGUCCAACUUCAGAUUUAGCUGCACAGCAGUGCCUCGUUUAGAUAAUGUGCCUGAAUGGAUUUAUCAGCAGAACCCGUGAGAGCUGAGAAUCAUGGCUGUCCUUCAGGGCAUGCUCAGAUUGCUCUGGACCCGAUACUGUCAAAAAUAUCUGGGAUUCCAUAUUCUCUUUGGAUACCGCUUGCAGGUCAUCUGUAUGUAGCUUGAGAUAUCUAAGAUGAUAAACGGUGGGCACAAUGGUGUUGCUCUGAUUCAUUACCAUAAAGAACUUGCUGACAGAUGACUCCUGAUGGAGUACAAAUUGAAGACCGCUGGGAAAUCCUAUGUUGCUGCAGCCAAGAUGUCUAAUCUGAGAUGUAAUGGAUUGCCUUUCCACAGUACUGAGCAGCAGCAAAAUUAACAGUGAGCUUCACUGGUAUGGCACUUUGGUUUGGACUGUGGUUUUUUUUGGAAAAUUUUAAAGAAAAGGCAUAGAUCCACCUCAUCGUAAAGUUUCAGCUUUUGUUUAAAAUGGUUAUGUAUAUCACAUACGAAGAAAAUGCACCUUUCCGCCCUUUGCUCAAGUAAUUUUUAGGCAACUUUAAACAUUUCUUUUCCCAACAAGAUUUGUCACUUCUUUUGUAACGGUUGAAAGUGUCUUUAAACACCAUUUUACACAAUUUUCUAUCUGUUCAGCAUACUCAUUCUUCUUGGUAAAAUGAUGUCACAAAGUCCAGCAUCUGCCUAAAUUUCCUUUAAACAUCUUUCAUCAUGUAAGACAUAUAAAAGGGAAAAAUGAAACAAAACCCCCAAACACCUGUAGUAUAUUCUAGUUCUACAAGCAACUAUUUUUAGGCAAGUUAAGCCCAGCACUACAGGAGACAGUCUAGACUUUAUUAGAAUUUCUAUAAUAUUAUAAAAAUAUUCAGAUGCUUUGAUGAAGUAAAAAGAAGUAAAAUUUGGGAAGAUAUCCUUCUAUGAUGUAUAUCUAUACACGCAGUCUGAAUUUAAGAAAGGGCCCUCCUUGCCAUAUUUCUAAGCAUUGACAGAGAAUUUUGUACUUAUUGAGGUUUUUUUUUAAAUCUGGGUGAUUUCUGGGAGCAGAAACUUAAUACCUGCUCCUCAAAAUGUACAUAGUCAUGAGCAAGAAUCUUUGACCUGUGAAAAACAGAAAUAUUAGAUGUGCAUGCUUACAUUACACAGAAGAACUGAAUGUUUAAGAACCUCUCUCCAGAGCAAAUAAGAUGACUUCAACAGUUCUAAAAACUAGGUCUCAAAUCUAUUUUCAGUUAAUCCCCCAUUUGAUCAAUUUAUGUUACUAGCUGUCAGCUAAUUUCAAUGAUAUUAUAAAGUCAUUUGUGUAGGCACUUGUUAGAGGAUAUACGAUUAAAGGAAUUCUCACCACCACCUUCAAAACACUGGUGGUGGUAGAAAGAUUAUUUAAACCAUAGAAGUGUGCUGAGUAAAGAAUACAAUAGGAUUGUAAACUCAGAGAAACCCUUAGGGAAACGGACUCUGUUUACUGUAUUUAUAGUGGGCCCAGUUCCAAGACACAGGAGAAGAAACAAACAUUCACUGCCACGAUGGGUUAGAAAAAGUGUCUUUGUGCAAAUGUUAAGAAAAGGCAGUAGGAGUUUUGCAGGUCUCUUACAUUUCUAAUAAAUUGAAAAUCAAAUGGCUAUGCA
Molecule: long non-coding RNA, 2380 nt
Organism: Cyanistes caeruleus (blue tit)
Lineage: Eukaryota; Metazoa; Chordata; Aves; Passeriformes; Paridae
Source: Ensembl